UACAUAAUUAAUUAAAAUACUACAAAGAUUCUUACUUCCAAUGACCAAUUGGUGGUUCAGGUGGUAUAGGUGCACCUUCAGUGAGGAAUGGAUCGUCUUCUACAGCUACAUUCUUAAUACUUCUUUCUAUAAUUUUGGAAGUUUCUUGAGCUCUGGUCAUUGUUGAUCGUACAAUCAAACUGUAUGGGAAGCCCAAUUCUUGUAACCUUCUCCCUGUUGUUUCAGCUUGUUUUUUACCUUCAUGUUUCACAAAUUUUUGUAAUUACCAAAAUUCUCUUAUACAAAUCAAGUAAUAAUAGCAAAUAUAAUAAAUAAUACAUGUAAAAUAUACUAACCGAGUUCUGUAAGCCUCCUUUCAAAAUCUGUCUUGCCUGUAACAUUAUAUUGUCCAUGACGUAUCAAAAUUAUGUGACGCGUAGCUUUUGCUUUGUUUAGUGAUAAUUCCUUGUUAUAUGUGUUUUCAUCAUUCUCGCUGAUUAUUUUUACUGGCUUCACUAAACUCUUUGGAUCCCGUCUAGAAUUACAGUUACAAAUACAAUACAUUACAAGUUAACAUUAAAAUGUAAUACAUAUCUUAUGAAUUAUUAACAAAUUAUUUUCAUGAGAAACUAUAAGAAAAUUUAUUUAGACAUGUAGGGGAAUGAAUACUACAUACAUUCGUAUUUAUAUGUAUAAAUGUAUUUUCUACAUUUAAGUAAAAAAUGUUUAUUGCACACAACUUUUGUUCGAUAGAAAACAGAUAACGUAAAAAUUUCUUGUUAAAUGAUCCCAUGGAGAAUCACAAAAAAUAGAAUGCAAGAACAAAUCUUAAUUACACGUCAAUAUCUCAUUAUGAAGUCAUUAAUGUGUUUUUAUCAAUAACAGUGAUAAAGUGUAUAACCUAUCCCAGUUGUGGUUCCAUUUUACCGACGGGUUUGCAUUCGUUGUCCACGAAUUUCGCACCUGCAGAAAUUCUUUGUUACCGCAAAUAUUCCAAUAAACUAAUGUUGCACCACCUAAUGCAGUUAAUCGCGUUGCCCAUUUUUUAAAGCUUGAUCUCAUGGGCAUCUUUACAGUGCGUAAGUUACCUCGGCUAAGCCACUGUUACAUUUCAAAUUCCACGACCUUUUCUGUCAGUGCAUCUAAUACGAUUUCGUUUGUGUUUACAAUUUUUUUCGUUUAGUAUUACUAUUACAUCGACUUUAUUUAAUUAAACUGAAAUUUGAAUGAAUAAUAACUUGAUAUUCCAAUAUUUACUAAAUUGUUAAAAGAACAUUGGAAUUUAGUAUAAUCUUAUUGGUAUGAAUCCAUUAAAAGAUUACCAUCUUUAUCUUUGAGACGUAUUCUACCAUUUGAAUAUCUUGUUUCCUGAGUACCAUCAGAAUAAAUAAAUUUAACUGUACCAUCAGGAUAUUCUCGCCUCUAAAACAUAGAGAAUAUAUUGCACAAAACAUAUUAAAUAUGUAAUUUUCAAUAAAAUUAUUACUAAUA
Molecule: non-coding RNA, 1470 nt
Organism: Megalopta genalis
Lineage: Eukaryota; Metazoa; Arthropoda; Insecta; Hymenoptera; Halictidae
Source: RefSeq, a predicted model, not a curated record